UGCUGACGGGCUGGGCCGUGGGGGAGACUGGGGAGGCGGGGUGCCGGCCGGGGCGGCGGCGCGGGCUCGGGACGCCAGGGCUCCCGCUCCCUCCUCCCGCCCGAGCCAGCCUCGGGCGCCGGGCGCCUCUCCCGACCCUGAGCCAGCGCCAACGAAGCGCCGGGAGGCCCGGAGCCCGGCCCGCCACCGCCGCGGCCCGCGGAGGGAGCCGCCGCCGCCGUCGUUGUCGUUGCCGCCGCCGCCAGGCCGCGCCCCGCCCCUCCGCCUCCGCCGCCGCCGCCGCCGCCGCCGCUCCCGGUGAGGCUCGCGCUCGAGCUGCGGCGCCGGCUCCCGCCGCCUGGGCCCCGGGCCCGGCCCCUCCCGCGCCGCCCGGGCGAUGAGAAGCUGCUUCUGCGUGAGACGGAGCCGGGACCCGCCGCCGCCGCAGCCGCCGCCGCCGCCGCCCCAGCGGGGAACAGACCAGUCCACCAUGCCUGAAGUCAAAGACCUCUCAGAAGCCUUGCCCGAAACGUCAAUGGAUCCCAUCACGGGAGUCGGGGUGGUGGCUUCUCGGAACCGAGCCCCGACAGGCUAUGAUGUAGUUGCACAGACAGCAGAUGGUGUGGAUGCCGACCUCUGGAAAGACGGCUUAUUUAAAUCCAAGGUUACCAGAUACCUGUGUUUCACAAGAUCAUUUUCCAAAGAAAAUAGUCAUCUGGGGAACGUGUUAGUAGAUAUGAAGCUCAUUGACAUCAAGGACACACUGCCUGUGGGCUUCAUCCCAAUUCAGGAGACAGUGGACACACAGGAAGUGGCUUUUAGGAAGAAGAGGCUGUGCAUUAAGUUUAUUCCACGUGAUUCAACGGAAGCUGCAAUCUGUGACAUUCGGAUCAUGGGCCGGACCAAGCAGGCCCCGCCUCAAUACACAUUUAUUGGGGAACUGAACAGCAUGGGGAUCUGGUAUCGAAUGGGCAGAGUACCAAGAAAUCAUGACUCAUCUCAACCCACAACGCCUUCCCAGUCAUCAGCUGCUUCCACCCCAGCCCCCAACCUUCCCAGGCACAUUUCCCUAACGCUUCCUGCCACCUUCCGAGGCAGGAACAGCACCCGGACGGACUACGAGUACCAGCACUCCAAUUUAUAUGCCAUAUCAGCAAUGGAUGGUGUGCCUUUCAUGAUUUCAGAGAAGUUUUCUUGUGUUCCAGAAAGUAUGCAGCCCUUUGAUCUCCUGGGAAUCACCAUCAAAUCUCUAGCAGAAAUUGAAAAAGAGAAGUUGGCUACAUGUGAAACUGAGGCAUGAAGGAAGGACUCAGAUGAUCUCAGGACUCGGAACCCCACCUGGGCCUGUCAGAGAAUUAACAGCCCCUCACUUGGAGGAAGAGAACACAGAACAGCAAGAAAAGAGGCAGGUUCCUGGGACAAUGCGGAGUGGAAAUCUUGGACGCCUAAUGACAUAUUUCUGUCCAGGAAGAAAUUUGAACUCUGAAGCCGAACUUGAUUAAACCCCAAACCGAGAGACCUUGCCCAAUGGGACCACUCUGGGACUUUGACUUCUGGGUGUCGGAGCUUAAUUAAAAUAUUCAUCCAGCUGCUCUCCACUCACCAACAGGGCCCAGAGGAAUUAAACCAAUAAGCUUAAUUCUAUUAGUUCACCUGCCUGUGUACAUAGAGAUGCGGAAGACCAUUUACUGAUUCAGAAAAAAAAUCAUCAGACCCACCCUGUCAAUUCAGCGUGGGCAGCCAUCACUGCAGCUGCAAAAUCUUUCCCUAGCAGACGUAACAUUCAGAAAUCUCAGUCCCGGCUCUGAACACACACAGCUAUUUUUAAGACUCUUCCAAGAAAACCAAAAUGCCAAACGGGUCAAUACAAGGAUUUAUGUGCAUGCAUGUGUGUAUGUUAUGAUUUAUGUGUCACUUAUAAUAACAUGUAACAUUUACUUUGUGCCACAAUGCUGAGCCUUUCAUUCAUGUCUCAAGGAAACUGUCACUUCCACUCUAAAAAGUCAACACUAUCAUUACCCCCACUUGACAGAUGAGAAAACUGAGGCUCCGUGAGAUGAAAUGACUCAAAGCCCAGAAUUCUCAGACCACAGGGUCUGCUGAGCAUUUAACCCCUAGUAAUGAAGACUCUACUGAAAUCUGGAUCUUUGUUUUACAUUUUAAUGUAUGUCGUAUCUGCCACGUACAGACCUAGUAUAACAUUUGGAAGGUACACAAGCUGCAAAGUGAAAAGUCAGCCUCCCGUCAUACCCACCUCAGCGGCCUGCUCCCCUCCCCAAGGCAGCCGCCAUAGAUGAUUUGUCUCUCCUUUCAGAGUGGAGGCCGAUACCAGCCAGUGUGCACGUGGCUCUUUUUGUAAAAACAGAUAAGGAGCCUAACAGGUAUGCUGCUCUGCAGCUUGCUGAUCUCAUUUAAUAAUAUAUCUUGGGAGAGUUCUCCAUCUCGAUCCUUUGAAGACUACAUGUCAUUCCAUUCAAUAGAAGGAGCAGACUGACCCCUAUGGGACUGUCCAUAUUCAACCAUUUUUGACCAGCAAAAGAUGGAGAUUUCACAUGAUUCUGCCUGAAACCAUCAUUGCUUACUGAAUCUACUGUGAUGGGCAUUUGGUAGGUGAUUUCACAUCUUUGGCCUUAUAAACAGUGCCGUGAUGGGUAUCUUUUGCACACCCCGGUGGGUAUUAUCUGUAGGAUAAAUUCCUAGAGGUGCCACUGCCUCUGAGACCCUGGGUAAGUCGAGUUCCUUAACCCCGAGUGUAAAACAAAGCGGCUCAUUAGAUGAUUUCUGAAGCCCCUGGCGGGCUCUGCUGUUCUGCAAGAAUGUACCUUCCAUAUCUGUAAUUCUACAUCAUAGCUAGAGAUUCCUCACCCUGACCCUGUGAAUAGCACCGCAGCUCAAGCCCAGGGUCCCCCAAAUCACUGUGGAAACAAGUGUUUCCCACUAAAUGCUAACUAACUCCCUGCUGGCCAUAUUUGUCAACUAGAGAAUGAGACAUUUCCCGGUGAUCAAUACAAAUGGAAUAGAAAUCUAUCCUGGGCAGCAGCAGCGAGACUUGGUUUUUAAUAAGGGAACCUCCAGAGGAUAUUGCAUUCCUAUGACAACGGCUGACAGACCUUGAUUUUUAGUGUCAGAAGCUGUUUGAUGCAAAGGUCUGUGGCCGGGCCUGGCCAGGAGGUUGGGGGGCUGGUGAGGGGGUCGGGCUGGAACCAGGCUGGUCCUGAAAGGCUGUUGCAGAAGCCUGCCGGCCAGCCCAGCCCACUGCCCAUUCACGGCCCCUGUGGGCCACCUGUUCACGAAGGCAGCCACAUCUGCCAGCUGGGCUACGGGAGAACCAGCCGGGCCGGACAGCUAGCCAAAGAUGAUCCAUAGCCAUAGAUCUGGUUAUUUACGGCUUGCCCCUGGUCCCCAAUGACCGGACAGCUCUCAGACAAGAGCAGUUCAUCUUAAACAAGACCAGGUACUUGGGCAGAGGUGGCAGAAAACACAAAUGACCGUAUUGAUGGUCUCUUUUCUUGCUGUAAAUUAAUCCGGUAACAGAGUGACUCAGAGACACCCUGAGUUACUUGUGGUUUGCAGUCUUCAGAAGGAUUAGCUACGAACUGCCCAAGACAAACUAGGAUGUUCUGAAAACAUGAUUCUUGCCCAAACCGCUGAGACGACUCUGGGUUCCAUCUCUUGAUUCUUCUGCCUCUUUUAAAAUUAUCUGCCAAUAUAGACAAGGGCUGGGAAAGACGGCAGAGACAGGGAAGCAGCUGGCAUCAAAGAAGAUAGGAUCGGCGGUGAUUUAUUUCCAGCGACGUGAUAUUUUAGGUUAUUGUUGUUGUUGUAUGCGUGCAAUAAAUCAUAAAGUAUCCAUUAAUAGAGUGUUUUAUUCUCAAAAAAUAAUUUUUUAAAAAUUCUUUCAAGUGGAUGGGUCAUUUCUCAAGUUGCAUCCUCAGGUUUUAUUAAGAGAUGUGACAAUGAGAACAUGCCAAUACAUUUUUCCACUGGGAAAUUUCGCUACUUAGAAAAAGUCUUGUCCUUGUAAAGAAGUAGAAGAAAAACAAGAAAGGGAGCCUUAGAGAUGAUUGCUUAAAAUACUUGUUUGAAUAUAUGUAAAUGUAUUUAGGCCUUCGGCUUUUUAACCACCAAAUUCAUGUUUAGGAAUUUUAAGCACCACAAUGAGGUUUCUCUCCAAGUUUCCAAAGGCAGCUUCAAAACUGCAUGUACCAGAGCCUUUAAAAUCAGGUACAGAGGCCCCCGAGGAAGGUCCCAGGGGAUGAUUACAAGAUUCCUCUGUGCGACACAGCAACACCUGGCCUGGCUCACGGGCGCUCUCGGACCCUCUGUUGAAAGCAACUGACUAGGCUGAGGCUUAAAACUAAUCUUGUCCUCGGCUCCCUGGCAAGAGGUCGGCGGGCCAGUCUUCCAGAAGAUGAUCCCCAGCCAGAUCUGAAGGGCUCCAAGAAUAUAACAAGCUCCAAGAAUAUAACAGGGGAAGGGGGAGAGAGAAAGAAAGAAAAAGAAUAAAGGCAAAAUUAAUUUUUACAAUUAAGUAUAUAUUUUUUCCAUGUAGUUAAUUUCCAGCCGCUCACAUUUAUUGCACAUUAAUUAUGCAUACAGCUUUUGUGCGACUUAAAAAGUGAGGAAUGUGAUCCUUAUUCUUUUAUGGAGGCUCCGGCUGCCGUGCUGGAGGCUCUGCAGCUUCGGGUCAGAGGGGCAGGAGCCGAGUCCCCCUCUUCGAGCAGCCAGCGGCGGGCCACCUCACCCCCAGCCAGUCCAGGGCUCUCGGGUUCCCCCACCUCAACUUUCUUAAAAGCAUUUCCUAUACUAGGGGUGGUGAUCGGGGGCCGAGGGGGCCUGCACGAUUGGCUGGAUGUGUUUCUGGGCCGAAUCUUAGGGGAAGGACCCUGAACUGACCGCUGACCAGCCUCCCCCUCAGCUUGCCCUGGCCAAUAUCCAUGUUCAAUCCCACUGACCCAGGCCUGGGUGCGAAAACAGGAGUGAAAUGAACAAGGCCUUGGCCGGGAGGCAUUGGGGGCAUAUGUCCUUCCUCCAAGCCCCUUUGUGCACCACAGGACGCCAAAGAGGUGGGAGUAUUAAGUGGACUGUGAGAUGCUUCCCCCCAAUCUUAGCCUCAGAUUUCUGAUGACCCCUCAAAGGCCUCAGGAAGGGCUGGGCAUGUGGCCCCUCUGCCCACAUGCUGUGCGACACUAGAUCAGUGCCACAGCCUCUCUGUGCCCUCUCCGAAUCUGCAUGGAAGUUCCUUUGAACAGCAGCAGGCCCAUGCCUCUGUCCCUGGGAGAGCUCCGUGAACCUGACCCCUGCCCCCUGCAUCCCAGCUCAGAACCCACCAAAGAGGACCCUCCCAUACAAACAACAGGGUUCACCACUCAGCACACCCAGUGUGGGGUGCACAUAGCCCCAUCAUCAGCUGCCCGAACUUCAGCCAAAAGCAAAGACCCAGGAGCCUGAGACCCCUUGUCCCAUCCGUGGGGAGACCCUCUGGGACUCAAGAACAGUUGCCCCUAUUGGACCAGGACCCUUGAGCUCUGCUCAGCGCUUGGCUCCCCACGUCCCCAGAAGCAUGCUCCUCCUCCUCAGUCCAGGAGCCAGAGCUCCCACUGGAGCCAGCCUGGGUGAUUUCCUAUGCAGAUCCUGAGCAGACAGAGUCGGAACCCUCGCCCAGCCUCACUGCCCCCACUGCUGGGCACUUUGGCUAAAGUGGCUCCCCCUCUCUGGUCCAGUUCUGCAUCUGAAAAUGGGAUUUGGAAUUGGACAUAGAGCUAGGUGGAGCAUCAUCUCCGAAACACCCAGCCUAGUCUGAGCGCCCAGGAAAUGGCCUGAGGGGUGGACACAGAGAUUCAUUUUACAGCUGAGGAAACAGACUUUCAGAGGCGAGUUGCCCUGACCUGCCUGGAGGCAACGGGGCCAGAUGUGUGAAGGCUCCUAGUGCUGUCCUGGGUCCCGCCACCGUCAGCCCACCAGGGUUUAGAACACAACCCCUGAUGGUGGAGACAAGAAGUUAGAAGAGGAAACUCAUGCACCCGGUCCCCGUCCUACGGGCGCCAGCUGGGGCCUUCCACAUGGCAUAGGUGCCGCUCCCAAUCCUCGUCCGAGGUUCCCCAGGUUCACAACCACAAACCAGCCACCAGACGUCAGCCGCAGAAGCAAAGACUGCAGCGAGCAGAGCCGGUUUGCUCCCACCAGCCCAGCCCUGCAGCCCUAACAGAUCCCACCGCUGCCAGCAGCACGAGCUUCAUAACCAGGGACCUGACGACAGCCCUGGCUGCCACCCUAACCCCUGACCCAACCGUGGGAGGGGGUCAGGGGCCUGGGCCACCCCUUUUCUCUCUCUCUUUUUUUUUUUUUUUUUUUUUUUUUUGCGUUAAUAAAAACUGCUCUCCCAAUGGUCCUGCUGGUAUAAACUGUAAAACGUCUCUCCCGUUCUCUUCUGGAAUCCUGCAGUGACUUAGGACAAACUUGAAAUAAAAUCGUCAUCAUGAAGAAAUCAAUCGUGCAUAACAAUAACUACAUGUUUAACAUUUAUGACUCUGUGUUCUGACAAACUAAAACGUGAAACAUGCCAAAAUUUGGCUUUCAUAAAACAAUUUCUCAUCAAGUUCUUUCCUUUGACAAAAUGCCUCUGUGUCAUUCCUGGCUGGUGAGACUUGCUACAAACCAGUAGCAUUUCCAGAAACGGGUCUUGGGUUUGAGGCUUGUGUGAUCCUCAGAGCCUCCCUCUGGCUCUGUUAGAUUUCCUCUGAUUGACAAUAUUCACUCCUAGUGACAAUAUUCUAGCUUUCCUAGUAAAUGGCAGUGAGCAAGCACAUCACCCAGGGACAGGGGUGGGUGUCACGUCAUUCAGAAACAGGAAACUGUAUGAGGCAGCCAGUCACAGGCACCAGAACUCUGGUUUGUUUUUUUUUUUCUAACUGUGGUAAAACACAGAUCAUGCAAAAUUCACCCGCUUAACCAUAUUUAAAUGUACAGUUUGUGGCUUAAGUACCUUCACGGUGUUACGCAAUCAUCACCCCAUUCAUUUCUAGAACUUACUGCCUCUUGCAAAAACUGAAACUCUGUCCCCACUAAAUAAGAACUCCCCACUCCUCCCUCCCCAGCCCUGGGCAAUCUCCAUUCCAUUGUCUGCUCAUGAACUUGAUUUCUCUGGAUACCUCAUAUAACUGGAUUCAUUCUGCAUUGUCUUUUUGUGACCGGCUCCUUUCACUGAGUGUAACAUCCUCCAGGUUCACCAUGUUAUAGCACAUGUUUGAAUUUCACCCCUUUUUAAGGCUGAAUAAUGUUCUGUUCCCAAAGCCCUAUUUCUAACGCUACACAGAGCACAGACCCGCAUUCCGACAUGAGAACAGACCCAGAUCGGCAUCUUAAGACAACUGUACAUGCGCCUAAAUGCACCCCCGCCCCCUCCAGUCUCUCAUGCACACAUGAGGACCACCCUUUUGGACCUGUGGGAUCCUCAGUUACACCCACAGAUAAAUGCAGUCACCCCACAACCUCCAUCUGCGGCUCUCGCCUGGGCACACCCUAUGCACACCCCCCAUUAGACGGGGUUGUGGGAAACUUUGGAGACUCUUGGGGACAUCAUAGCUGGAGGGUCCCAGGGACCCAUCUCAGCCCUGGGUGGAGGGGGAUAUUUUGGCACUUGAACCCCUCCCCAUCCCUGUAUCCAGGUCCCCUCCCCAGAGGGGAGGGGAAAAGGAAAGGGUGCUCAGCACCUCGCAGGCCCCAUAGCUCCCAGUCCAAGCUUAGCUUCCAUGGCCCCAAGGGGAACUGAGGACUUGGUGAGGGGAACACCAGUCAGCCCAGGUCUCACAGAGAUUUGAGCCCAGAUUCAAUCUGCCUGUAAGCCUAGCAAACAGUAGUGAGCAAAAUGUGUUCUAACUUGUGAAAGACAGAACAUUUGUGAGGAUGGGGCCAAGCUGGAAAAACAGGACCCUCUAUGCCCAGGAGCAUGAAUGGGGUCCCAGGGGCAGCAUCUGGCCUGGUACGUGUUUCCUCUGCACACCCCGAGCACCUACUGUAUACUAGCAGGGCGCUCUGCUUUCCUAGAGAUCUCAAACUUUGGAAUGGAAGUGUCAUUCCAUCGUCCUCCAGCUGCCCCACAGGGGGACCAAGCUCAAAGGAAGCUUUGCUAACAGUAACACAACACAGCACCUCCUGAUCUACCAAAGAUCCCAAAACUGACGCCUCGACAAAUUCUCAAAAUCCCUCAAUCUCCAAUCACUGUUCAUUUUCUUCAGAUGAUAAUGGUGUUGUGUGUAAGAGAAGGUCCUUAUUCUUAGAAAUGCACACGGAAGUAUUUAGGGACACCUGAAACUUACUUUCAAAAAAAAGUAUUUUUACUUACAGCAAAAAAUACAUAGCUCCAGAGAUGUGUCUACACAUCUAUGUAGUUAUGUAGUUAUGUGUGUUGGCUCGGGAGGGGGUCUGAGAGUGUUCCUUGUAUUCUUCCCUCAACUCUUCUAUAUGUCUGGAUAUUUUUAUCAUAAAAAUUUGGGAAGAAAAAUCCCUCACCCUCAUCGUGCCCAUCCUGUGAUCACCCCUCUCCCUCUGCACCCUGUCAUCAUGAAGCGACCAGGAAGUCCAAACAAGAGGCUACAUCAAUGGCAGGACGUUGAAAGAAUGUUCUGCUGGGUUCAUAGGCAGGAAUAUGCAACUUCCUACCUCCCAGCAGAGGUGUGUGGCUCAGCCCCCAGCUGCUGAAGCAGCUCUUUAGGACAGGAGCAGGAAGCUGCCCCAGGGUGGCUUCCCCACCACACGCCAUCCCCAGGGACCCAGAGACAAACAGGAGGGCUGUCCCCAGCUCUCUCUCCUUAUGGCCUAGCUAUGCUCUGGGAGCUAUGCUCCCAAAUAGCUGUGAAGUGUGUGGCACAGAACCCAUUGCUCAUCAGAACCAGAAACCGGCCGGGCAUAGUGGCUCAUGCCUGUAAUCCCAGGACUUUCGGAGGCCAAGGUGGGUGGAUCACUGGAGGUCAGAAGUUUGAUACCAGCCUGACCAAUAUGGUGAAAUCCCGUCUCUACUAUUUUGGCAUGUGCCUGUAGUCCCAGCUACUCAGGAAGCGGAGGCAGAAGAAUCACUUGAGUCUGAGAGGCGGAGGUUUCAGUGAGCUGAGACUACACCACUACACUCCAGCCUGGACAGAGCGAGACUCUGUCUUAAAAAAAAAAAAAACAAAAAAAACAGAAGCCCCUCCAUGAACACAGGACCCGUCUCUUUCACUCUUGCUGUCUCCCCAGUGCCAAUCUAGGGCUUGGCACACAGUGGCUUACAGCCAGCGUUCUCUCUUUCACAAAUUAGAACACAUUUCAGGUCAUUCCCCACAGCCUGCCAGCCUGCAAGGAUAAGAGGUGAACGGCCCGCAAUGAGUGGGACCCUGGCCACCCCCGCCGACUGACCUGGGCAGCUGCAGCUGUGGGGUGAACAGACCGAAGCCAGGAGGAGGCUGAGGAGACUGGAGGAAAAGCCUCAAGAGCCGAAGCUGGGAUCAGGGCAGGAGGAAGGCAACUGGAGUCAGAGAUGGAGGCGGGCCAGGGCCAGGCUGUUCUGCAGCUGCCUUUGACCCCAGGACACCUUCCAAGUGAGGACCCCGGGACUGGGACCAGGCAGCCUCUCCCUUGGCCGCUCAGUGUCUGCCAGCUGGGAAGGAGGCCUCCCAGCCCAGGAAGAAGCACCAGAGAGGGUGUUUGUCUUAAUCAUCGGAGAUCAAAGACAAGACCCACCGGCUGGUGAUCCUCCUGGGGUAGCCAGGCCCUUUCCUCUCCUCCUGCCCCAGAGUGGCUGACUCCAAACCCCCGUUCCUUCCAGAGAGGUCCCCCAGGGCAGCCAGGGCUCAGGGAGGUCUCUGGACACUCCAUUCUCCCAGGGCUUAGAGGAGGAAGCAGGGAUGGGUGUCCAGAGACCUCAGAGCCUGAGGUCUUGCUGAUGUUAUGGCUGUGACUGCACAGAAAACUCAGUCAUGGGUAAGAGAAACGAGAGAGGGAUGGUGCAGCUAGAAAACCACUGUGUUCUGGGGGCCAACUAAGGCUCCCCACCUUCAGGAAGGACAGUGGUUGAGAGAAGGACCCAGGGAUGACAGAUUCUGUCCCAUUUUGCCUCUGAGCAGUGAGUCACCUAGUUCUCGGAGCCUCUGUUUGCUCUUCUGGAAAAGGGGCACACGGGUGCUACUGCCAUGAAUAGCAUGUGUCAAAUACUUGGCUCAGAGCCUGGUGUGUAGUGAGUGGCCUGUGGGCAGCCAGAGUUCCUGUCAUCAGUGCUGUUAGCCUGCAUGUGCUCGUGAUGUGAGGGACCUCCUGGCUGCUGCGAUUCGCUGAAAUACAUUUAAGGUGAUGCUUCCCCCGGGGGACCGCAGAAACUGCGUGAUUGGCAAGUGGGUCAGGAUGUUGAGUCCCGCAAAGUGUCCUGGGCCAGUGACACCCCCACCAGGGCCUGCCAUCUCCCUGCCCCACAUGCCUGGGUGCCCCAGGAGGUGGGCUGGCCUGUACCACCCGAGGACAGAGGCCAGCGACUUUGUCCCUGCUCUGUUUGCCAUGAAAGAGAAAAACCACCUCAGGGUUCAAAGGAAAAGAGGAAAACCCAGUAACUCGUCCCAGACGGUGUGUCCGCUUUAUCAAAGCUGAUUUCAGGGAGCAAAGUUCCCACCAGGAGAGGCCACAGCCUCAUUAGAGAGUUCUGGGAAUGAUGAAAAGCCAGGCCGCUGUGCACAUCCCUGAGACAAUUAGACCUUGUCCCUCCACCUUCAAAGGCAAUCUUGCUGUCUCUGCGCGCGUCUGCGCACGUGAGAGGGUAUGACAGUCUCUCCCUGGGUCUCUCUUCCUCCUCUUUGUAUUUCUUUUUGGGUCUCCCCAUCUUUCUGUUCUGUCUUCUUUCCAUCCAUCCUUUAACCCCUCCUGGCACCCACGCACUUUGCACGUUUGAGAUGAUCCCUAUUCUGCCCAGUGGGUACCCACACAUGUCCCAGACCAGAAAAAACCUGCCCCAGGAGACCCCACCCUCGUGUCCUCAGAGGAGGCCCCAGACAGUGCCCCCCGACACCAGACACUCAGCUUAGCCAAAAGAUGGGAAUGGCGCAAUCACUGCUACUGAUUCCUUCCUCUGAACUCUAAUUCUCCCCAUCCUGAGGACAGAAUGCAAACUAUUCCCCCACAGCAAACUCUGGUUUCCGGAUGCCUCUGUUGGAUGCAACAGGGUCUGAGUGGAGAUUCUUCUCCAAAUCCCGACUAGCAGCCUCCCCCAACCCCCAACCCUGUGGAACGUUUCUUACCCACCGCAGGAGUUACAAGCAAGGCAGUAACACAUUCCUCCAUUCCUCCACACCCUGGACGCUGCCAGGGCCUUAAACUGAGAGGCAUUCUACUGUCCAGAGACAUGGACUCAUCUCGGCGAUGCUACCCCAAACCAAUCCAUGCCCCAGAUGCAUGCAAAGCAGGCCUGCCCGGGCCUGCCCACACUGCCAGCACCCUGGCCCUUGGCACCACGAAACAUUCCUAGAACAGACACCACCACGUGUGAGAUGCAGAUUCUUACAUCAGACAGUUAUUGGAGGGGAUCGGCCUGUUCCUUUAAGAGAGAAGGCAAAUUCUACAUACUUGUUUUUGUCAUAACACUGGAGGAAACGGCGCAAUAUUUUUGAAAUUAGAAACAGCCUUGGGUCUCUACCUCUCGCUGAUGGUACUCGGGUAUUAAUCCAUUAAGGCAAUCAAAAGAGCUUAAAUAAAAGUCUGAAGCCCGCAAUAUACAUGUCAAUGAACAAGCGGUAAAACUUCCUGAAAAGGUGAUUUCAAAGCCAUAUUGCCCACGCUUGGCAAAUUGCAUAUUUAAUUAUUUUGUCAGUCCCUCUUUCUCCUCUAAUCUUUGGAGAAAAUGCCUUUGACCAUGCGAAACCAGUUAGGAUAAUUAAGGUGCGAUGGAACUAGGUGUCGGCUGAUUUCUCAGAAAGAUGCCAUCCUCUAACCUGGUAUGAGAUGUGUGCAGGCCCCGAAGGCAGACAGCAUUGUAAUGUCUCCCUUUCUAUAGAAAGAUCAAAGGUCUUUUGCCCCUUUCAAGAUGUUUGUAGAAUUUGUUUCCCAAUUAUCCCACAUUUGCGCACUGGGACAUCCUAGUUAACUCUUUGAUGGCACCUCUGGAAUUGGACUGUAAUUGACAUCAAGCCGCACCUCCCGGCUCCAGGCUGGAGGCUGAGAUUUCGAUCUUGGGUCUGUGCUCAGAGAGGGAAGAGGAUGGAUGGGAGAUAGAAAUGGGGUGCAGGUUUAGGAUUUUAGCCCCUUCGGUUCCAGCCCCACUCUGCACUCAGUGAUUUGGACUCUCCUCAUCGGUUCAGACUUGGUAACCUUGGGAAACUCCUCCCGCUCUGAUUCUGGUGUCAGUUGGGCCUUGGAUUUGGCCUUUGCAAACCAUUUUAAAAGCAAAGCCUGAAUUCCUUUGAAGACCAUUCUGGAAAAAAAUAUGUUGACUACAUUAUUUUCCCACAGAAGAAUAUUUCUCCUGGUCCGGGAAGAUGUUUAAAGAACAAAAAAGCCAUCAAACAUUUGAGGAAAGUGAGAAAAAGUGGUCCAGAUUUGAAGUUGUAGUUAUGGCAUUUUUUUAAAAAGCCCACCCAUCUGCACACUGAUAGUCAUGGCGUUUUGAAACUAAAUGGGGUUAGAAUAGCAGGCUGAGGCAGGUCCAAUGUGAAAAUAUUAAGCCUUUUCUAAUGUGAUUUUAUUCACUUUUCACAUCUCCUUCCUUCAUGUUCUGUCGAUCUUUUUCGACUCUGCAAAUAUUUUUUCCCAAUUGCUUCGUUCAAACAAUUUGUCUUCAAAAUCUUUGUCUUAGCGUAAGAAAGAAAGAGGGAAAGAGAAAGAAAGAACAAGAAAAACCUUUCUGAAUCUCAUUAAAUGUAAAUACCAUGACUUUCUUGGAAAUAAAUUUUUGAAAAAGCUCUCAACAAUUUGAAAAAUGAAAUACUAUUGAUACAGGGAACCACAUUCCCAAGGCCGCUCCAGGAAAUUUCUUUGAUAUUUUGUCUUAUUCUGUCCUUCCAUUUUAACCCUUAAAAAUUCACCAGUGUCCUACAAGUUUUAAAUUGAGGCAAUGAGGUCCCAGAGGCAUCAGAAGGAAAAGCUUCCCUUAUAACGCCAGCUGUUUUCCGUAUCCUCCCAGAGAAACGGGAGAUCACAGAGGCUUACACCGGCACUGCUACGUUCUCUACAAAGAGAAACUUGAAAACACCGCAUUUCCCUAAUAAAUAAUGCCCCUUCUGAGGAACUCCACCCCCCAUUCCAAGUCCCCUCCAAAAAUAUAUAUUGAAAGAAAAAAAUCACAAGGAAACGCAUUUUCUGCUCUUUGCCGCAGAAAAGGGCUGGUGAUGGCUUUUUGAUGUCUGCAUGAGCUGAGAGCAAGUAGCUUUAACCUGGGUUUCUGCUGCCAGAGAAGGGGCCUGGAAGGUUCUCCCUGUGAGGAGAUGGGGCAGCCCUGCUGGGACCCUGGGGAUUGCCAGAUUUAGCAAAUAGCAAUACAGGAUGUCCCAUUAAAUUUGAAUUUCCGAUGAACCAGGAAUAAUUUUUUUUUUUUUUUUUUGAGAUGGAGCCUCGCUCUGUUGCCCAGGCAGGAGUGCAGUAGCAGAAUCUCGGCUCCUGGAGUCAAGUGAUUCUCCUGCUUCAGCCUCCCAAAUAGCUGGGAUUACAGGCACUUGCCACCACACCCCACUAAUUUUUGCAUUUUUAGUAGAGAUAGGGUUUCACCAUUUUGACCAGGCUGAUCUCAAACUCCUGACCUCAGGUGAUCCAUCUGCCUCGGCCUCCCAAAGUGCUGCGAUCACAGUAGUGUAACCACCAUGCCCAGCCAGGAAUAACUUUUUUUAAGCAUAAGUAUACCCCAAAGGUUGCAUGGGACUUAUUUAUACUAAAAACGUAUUCCUGGUUCACAUGAAAUUCAUCUGCCCUGGUGCAUCCUGUAUGCUAUCUGGCAACCCUAGUAUUGGGUUCCAAAUAGGGUCCAGCAGGCCGAACAGGGACAUCCCAGUUUUCCCACCUAAAAGCAAAAUUGAGUCCAUGAAGAAAAGAGUGCUUUGUGCUGGGCUGGGAACACUACCUGUCCAGCCAUCAGCUUGCUGUGUGAUAGACUCGUCCCAUCUUCUCUCUGAGCCCCCAUUUUCCCAUCUGUGAACUGAGGGUUUGGUGAGGUCUGAGGCCUGCCAAAGGGAAGGAAGCCACCCAGCUCUGCCAGCCCUGCGUGAGUCCUUCUGGACUCCUCUCUUUGCAAGCCCCCAGGUUAGUGACCCCAUCCCUGCUUUAUGAUAAGGAAGCUGAGGCUCCGGGGGAGGACGUGCCCGGCUGGGUCACCCAACAAGCACACAGACACAGACACUGAGAAAUUUCAGUUGGAUUUUUUUUUAAGCACCAAACUGUUCUCUGUGGGGAGAAUCAGGACUUUGUAGGUUUCCUUGAUGUUUGUUUUACUGUUUACUACUGUGCGUUCUGAUAACUGGGGAUAGAGGAUGAAUUUUUUAGGCACUUUGGCUGCUCAAAGUCGGGACUUGUGGGCCUGGCUCUCCCCAGCCAGCUGGGGUCCAUGGCCCUGAGACAUGGGGUUUCCCAGACCUCUCACCUCCUGCACUGAGCUUGGGGAAAUGGCCUUAGAGGCUCCUAUGAGACCUAGGAUGGAUGGACGGCCGUUCUGGGGUGGCCCAGCCCAUGCUCCACAAGGCAGGGAGGGCUGGGUGGGCACAGGGCUUAAUUCAGAUCAUGUUCGCAGAGGAGAAUACCACUUCUCCAGGGAGUGCCCCCAUUCCUGCUGCACACAAAAUGCAUCCUGCCCCAGGUGCUGGUAUCGCCCUCCUGGCCAAAACGCAGUUAGGGGCUGCCAUCCUGCUUCUUAAGCUCCUCAGAAGAUGGUUCUCCCACCGUCUCAGCUGCAACCCUCCUUCAUUCAGUCAGUUCUUUUUCCUAUCCUCCUCAGCUCCCUCCUGCUGUAACAGCAGCCUUUUUGGUGCUGCAGGGCCUCCAGGGAGACAGGGAACAGCUGGUCAGCAUCUGGUCCUCUCCAUUAGCCAGGGCCUUGCCCCCUGGGCCUUCCGCUCCCUGGGCAGAAUAAUCCUGCUUCCUCUAACCUUUCGGCUGGGUCCCGUGCUCCAGGGCUUUCAUCAUGUCCGUCGUGCCUCUGAAGCCACUCCAGGCUCCCUGGCCCUCCUGCAGCUUCUGUUGGGCCAGGCCAGGCAGGCCAGCCAGGGCCGGGGCAGAGGGUGAAUGACCCUCUCCCCUCCCAGCCCAGAGAAGCAGGGGAGGGGGUGCAGCCCUGUCUAGGGAAGGAGGCAGAUGUCACAGCUGUGCCAGGUUCUUCCUACUGCAGGGGAGCCUGAGCUUGUCUUCUGGAAAAUGGGGACUUAUGCCCUUUCUCCAGUCUUUGGUAAGAGGGUGCCAUGCAGUGACACAGGUAGAGCCCCUGCCUCUGUUCCAGGCCACCCUGAACUUCUCUUCCCCCAUUGGAUGACCUGGGCCAAACGGUCUCACUUCUCGAACCCCAGCUUUUUCACCUAUAAAGGGGUAGUUAGGAAGAUUCCAGAGAUAAAGUCCUAAUGAGCCGGGCCCUGACCCACAGCGAGAGCUGUGCGGGACUCGUAUUUUCAGUGACAGUAUCGCUGUAUUAUCCUUAGUCAUCCCAGGCCAGGUAUGUGCACGCCCCGGGACUCAGCUGUCCGGCUUUACUCGACCCUAGAGUCCCUGGAUUCUGAACCUGUUGGAUUCUGCGGCCGCCUGCUCCUGCCUGGAGAAGGAGGGGGCCUGUAAACAUGGCCCAGUCAGCCCUUCCUCCUCAACACUUCCAAAAUCCACUUGGGGAUCUCCUCUUCCCAGAAGCUUCCAAGGCCCCAGUGAGAUGUCUCUGCCAGCCACAGGGCCACAGGAGGGCUGAAUCCAGUGGCCUUCUCCCUUCUCUCCCUGGCUUGGGUUGCUUUGUGCCACCCCGUGAGUGGGGUGUGUGUGUCCCAAGCCGAUAUGGGUACCUACAGACAAGGCCUGGUGAGCUGAACCGGCACACCCAGCAUUUAUAGACUUGAAUGAAAAUCAAGCUCACAGAAGCUCCAGCCACCACGCAGGCCUCAGGUCACGUCCCUCAGAGACCCACCACCGUGAAGGUGUCCCAGAAACGCCAGUUGUUGCCUGUCCAAAGACAGCAUAAGCUGUCUUUGAUUUAAAGUGAUCACCCCGUCCCACCCCCUAGUUCUCAGAGGCACCUCAUUCUGGAAAGAGCUGGAGAGGCCAUUUUGUUGGUCCCCUGCCUCUGACCUGGGCCAUCCCCCCAUCCUCCUCCCCACAGGCCUCCAUGAAUCCCCAAACCCCAAGUCUUGCUCUGCAGCUCACGGGGUUAGGGAUGAACCCUUGGUGGCAUCCACGACUUCCCCUGCCACAAAGUACAUCUGCCCGCAGACCCCCAGCACCUCACAGUCCACUUGGUGAUAGAAAUUGGAAAGAAUCCCGAAGAGGAGAAAGAUUUGUACUAAAUGCAAACUUCAUUACUCCUUUCUCGUUUUUUUUUUCUAGUGACUGAGCUACAGUGUAUUUUCCUAGCAAUCAUUUUUAACAUUCCCGAAAAUUGCCCUUAAGAUACACAAAGCGCGUUUUGAAUGAAUCUCACUUGAGAGGCAAGUUCCCUUCUCCCUCUAUCUCAGUUAUUAAGAAAAUAGGAAGUUAAAUUUGUCGAUAAUCACAUUUCCACAGCAGAUUGUCAAAGGGGUCACUCUCCCAAAACGAACAAGAAAAGAAAACCAAGAAACACAAAAAGAGAACGUCUUGACUUCUGUCUGCAAUUCCCGCCAAGGUGUGUAGGUUUGAGGGUGGGAUUUUCCAGCCUCAAACAGCAGUAAGCCCCAGGCUCCCCCAGGCUCCUUCAGGUCCCCCAGGCUGCGUAAGUGGGUCAAGGCAUCAGAGUCAGACCUUACCUGCGGGCAUCCCGAGGGGCAGGCUGGGCUCUGGAGCUGAGCACGCCAGGGCUGGGCCGCAGAAGGUGAAGGCGCGGUGCGUGGAGGCUCUAUGUGGACAGGUGCACGGGCCCAUCUCUCUCCGAGGCGCUACCUGCGGUUUACUGGACGUUUAUUAGAAGCUCACACAAUAUCAUGAAGCACCUGCAGGCAAUAAAAUCCCUUACAUGUGUGAGGCCUUGAGGAAAUUAACGGCUCCUCCCUGGGGAUGCAUAUUUUGUGAAGAUGUUUAUUACAGAUGAAGUGCUCCCGGGGCGGGACAUUAACAAGUUGUAGAGUGAUAAAAGGAUUUUUAUCCUUUCUCAGUGACAGAAGUAGGAAGAAGGCUUUCAUGGAAUCUAUAAAAGACCAACUUCCUAAUGAAUUUUCUUAACUCUUUAUUAAUGGGGUUGGCUGAGUGGAGUCGGGGUCCGUGGUAUGCUGCGCCAUUGGACAAGCGGGUAUGGAGAAGGAGAAGGGGUGUGAGCCCCCCCAAACCCCACCCCAUGCUGGAUUGAGAGCGCAUGAGACGGCUCCGAGUGAGAGUCCCAGGCCCGGAAGCCCAUCCUUGAGCGUGCUUGCUCCAGUGAGAAAGGCACUGCCCCAGGAAACUCAUUUGGAGGGCCCUCUGGGUGAUGGAGUGAGUCAGGCCAAAAGGCAGGUUCCGAGCCCCACUUUUUAACCCCCCGUGUUCCGCUCCAGCCUGCAGGCCAUUACUGAGAUGAAAGCCGGGAGAAUGCCUUUGGACCACAACUGCGGAAUCUAAUUGAAUUAUAUGAACGCAGUUAAACGUCUGCUUCAGAGAGGCAGGGCUCACUUUCAAGAUUGGAUGCUUCAGGAGUUAAUGGGCUAUUUGAACAAUAUAGGCCGAGAGCCGAACACAGGUGGGCUGUGUUAAUAACUUUAUUUAGACUUGCUUUUUUUUUCCCCUUUGAGGCGCACAAGCCUUCCAUUAAUGCAUUCAUUAGAGUUUAUGGGCAGGCUCUGGUUUUCUCCUAAUGACACUGUCCAGACCCGGCUCCCAGCUAAUUGAGGCCAGCUGCCCAGCCACCCCGCCCCAGCCUCAGGACCGGGUGUCACCAGGAUUAGCUAUGGGGCUGGGGCCGGAGUAUCGGGGGAGGAGACCUGCCGCCUUCUCUAGGUACAGGAGGGGAGGGGUCAGGGACACCCCAGCACUACGCAGGCCACUGAAGGAGCCCAGAUGGGUGGGCUUCCAUCCCAACAUCCCUGGAACAGCCUCUGCCACCACGACUGUGGCCCCCUCCUGGUCCUCCUUCUCUCUGCAGUCACACUGAUGUUCCAAGAGACCCGUCCAACCCCAUUACACCCUGCUCAACAGCCCACUGUGGCUCCCCACUGCCCUCAGAAGAAAAUGCAGACUGCCUCUGCCCAGCAUUCUUCUCAUAGGCUCCAGCCUCCUCUCACUCUCACCUGGUCCUGGUAGCAGAUGCAUCCCUGCCUCCCUCCUCUCCUUGUUGUGGGCCAACAGCCAGCAAUGCUUCACCCUCACCCAUGUGAACCCACCCUCUCCCAAACCCAAAAGGCCCAAUUCCAAUGCAUCCUCCUCCAGGAAGCCUUCCUUUUCUGCCUGGAUUGGAAUCCUACGAAUGAGUGUGUGUCUUAUCUUUGCGCUCUCCUUCCACUAGACCAUGAAUACCUCGAGGGCAGGAUCCAAGUUUGUUAUGAGUAUUAAAAAAAACAAUAACACAGCCAGGCACAGUGGCCCAUGCCUGUAAUCCCAGCACAUUGGGAGGCUGAGGCAGUCGGAUCACUUGAGGUCAGGAGUUCGAGACCAGCCUGGCCAACAUGGUGAAACCCUGUCUCUACUAAAAAUACAAAAAUUAGCCAGGUGUGGUGGUGGGCACCUGUAAUCCCAGCUACUCAGGAGGCUGAGGCAGGAGAAUCACUUGAUCCCGGGAGGCAGAGAUUACAGUAGCUGAGAUUGCACCACUAUACUGCAGCCUGGGCUACACAAUGAGACUCUGUCUCAAAAAAUAAAGAUAAAAGUAAAAAUAACACACAAGUGGUCACGUCCCCACUUAUGAAGCAUUUACUAUAUGCCAGUUGCUUUGUAAGCAUCAGCUUAUUAAACCUCGACAGCACCCAGAAGGAACGUUUUAUUGUCCCCAUUUCACAGAUGAGGAACCUAAUGCUCAGGGACAGAACUUUGCUUGCUCAAGGACACCCAGUCCUAUCACUUACCAUCCAGGUGACCUCCCUUCCCCUCCCCGAUGACUGCAUCUGUAUCAUGAGAUUGUAGCAGUGGCAUGCAGGAAUCGGUCUGUAUCAGCUUGCAAGAGCUGCUUGUUAAAUUUUCAAGAAUUAAUGUUACGAGCUGGUUGUUAAAGGCAGACUUUGUUAAACAUUUAAAUUAUGUAAAUGUAAAUAAAUGAUAUUCAAAUAAAAGGUAAUAAACACUUCAAACUCA
RNA transcript from Callithrix jacchus (white-tufted-ear marmoset), 19335 nucleotides. It is a transcript of the gene named multivesicular body subunit 12B, with no coding region annotated. The record is from RefSeq and is a predicted model, not a curated record. Lineage: Eukaryota; Metazoa; Chordata; Mammalia; Primates; Cebidae.